This is a non-coding RNA of Manis pentadactyla (Chinese pangolin), 141 nucleotides long. RefSeq annotates it as small Cajal body-specific RNA 3. The transcript has a single exon. NCBI's taxonomy places the organism in Eukaryota, Metazoa, Chordata, Mammalia, Pholidota, Manidae. The record is from RefSeq and is a predicted model, not a curated record.
AAUGGAACCUGCAGGAACCCACAAUGUAGACAAAUGAAAAAACGGCUUUUGUCUACAAGUUGCAGUGAUCCUACAUAAACAUGGAGGUCUCUGUCUGGCUUAGGACAGCUGGCUAAGUCUGAUCGUUCCCCUCCAUACAGC